GGGUGUGGUACUGAGGCUUCAGCGGGUGCCGCCCGCCUAGAGGGAGUGGAGCGAGAGCCUACGACUAGAUUUGCAUCUUUACGUCCUGCGCGGAGGCUGCUACACACAUGCAGAAGUCAUGCUGGUGGCCUGGACAUUGAAGGGAGAGAAGUGGAUUUGGGAGACAUUUAGGAGAUGGCACCGAAAGCGAAGGAAGCUCCUGCUCCUCCUAAAGCCGAAGCCAAAGCGAAGGCUUUAAAGGCCAAGAAGGCAGUGUUGAAAGGUGUCCGCAGCCACACGCAAAAAAGAGGAUCCGCAUGUCACUCACCUUCAGGCGGCCCAAGACACUGUGACUCCGGAGGCAGCCCAGAUAGCCUCAGAAGAGCACCCCCAGGAGAAACAAGCUUGGCCACUAUGCUAUCAUCAAGUUUCCGCUGACCACUGAGUCGGCCGUGAAGAAGAUAGAAGAAAACAACACGCUUGUGUUCACUGUGGAUGUUAAAGCCAACAAGCACCAGAUCAGACAGGCUGUGAAGAAGCUCUAUGACAGUGAUGUGGCCAAGGUCACCACCCUGAUUUGUCCUGAUAAAGAGAAGAAGGCAUAUGUUCGACUUGCUCCUGAUUAUGAUGCUUUCGAUGUUGUAACAAAAUUGGGAUCACCUAAACUGAGUCCAGCUGGCUAACUCUAAAUAUAUGUGUAUCUUUUCAGCAUAAAAAAAUAAUGUUUUUCAUAAGAAUGACAACUUAAUUAGAAUCAAAUCUAUAAGCUUUAAGAUUUUACGUUUCUAGUAAGUAUAAUAUUAGCUUAUUUGACUAGAACUCAAGCAGAAUAGGAAUUUAUGCUUGUUUUAUAUUCAAUAAUGAUAAUUUUGAAGAUAUAGUUGUUUUAUUACACCAAAAAUACUAUAUUAAUCUUAUUUAACUAAGUUUUAUCCAAAUCAUGUUAACUUAAGAAACAUUUGAUCAGUUCCUAUAUUUCUAGGAGUUUGGUGAAUAUUUAUUUAUAAAUGCUUAUUUUUUUCCAAGCCAAGUUAGAAUAGAGCACUUUUAGAGGAUUUCAUAAAUGAAUUUUGCAAUGCUCUCUGGAGUUAAGAAAAUAUCACAUAUACAUAACAUACAUUAUUAGAUACACAAACACAAAUAGAGAUUUCAUAGCUUUCAUCCUGAAAUUUCAGCCAUGAAUCAGGCAUAAAUAUUCUGAUGGUUAAUUUCAGACAUCUACUUGAUCGGAUUGAGAGACACACAUAGUGGUCAAACACGAUUUCAGCCAUGAAUCAGGCAUAAAUAUUCUGAUGGUUAAUUUUAGACAUCUACUUGACUGGAUUAAGAGACACACAUAGCUGGUCAAACAUGAUUUCAGCCAUGAAUCAGCCAUAAAUAUUCUGAUGGUUAAUUUUAGACAUCUACUUGAGUGGAUUAAGAGACACACAUAGCUGGUCAAACACAAUUUCAGCCAUGAAUCAGGCAUAAAUAUUUUGACGGUUAAUUUUAGACAUCUACUUGAUCGGAUUGAGAGACACACAUAGCUGGUCAAACACGAUUUCAGCCAUGAAUCAGGCAUAAAUAUUCUGAUGGUUAAUUUUAGACAUCUACUUGAGUGGAUUGAGAGACACACAUAGCUGGUCAAACACAAUUUCAGCCAUGAAUCAGGCAUAAAUAUUCUGACGGUUAAUUUUAGACAUCUACUUGACUGGAUUGAGAGACACACAUAGCUGGUCAAACACGAUUUCAGCCAUGAAUCAGGCAUAAAUAUUCUGAUGGUUAAUUGUAGACGUCUACUUGACUGGAUUGAGAGACACACAUAGCUGGUCAAACACGAUUUCAGCCAUGAAUCAGGCAUAAAUAUUCUGAUGGUUAAUUGUAGACGUCUACUUGACUGGAUUGAGAGACACACACAGCUGGUCAAACACGAUUUCUGGGCAUAUCUAUGAGGGCGUUUCUGGAAGACACUGAGAUAACCAUGACCCAAUGUGGAUGGGCACUGAUAUGGUUUGGCUGUGUCCCCACCCAGAUCUCAUCUUGAAUUGUAGUUCCUGUAAUACCUACAUGUCGUGGGAGGGACCCAAUGGGAGGUGACUGAAUCGUGGUGGUGGUUACUGCCAUGAUGUUCUCAUGACAGUGAGUGAGUUCUCAUGAUCUGAUGGUUUUAUAAGGGGCUUUUCCCCUUUGGCUCAGCACUUCUUGUUGCUGCCAUGUGAAGAGGGAUAGCUUUGCUUCCCCUUCUGCCAUGAUUGUGAGGCCCCUGCAGCCAUGUGGAACUGUCAGCCCAUUAAACCCCUUUGUUCUUUAUAAAUUGCUCAGACUCAGGUAUUUCUUCAUAGCUGUAUAAAAAUGGAUGAAUACAGGCAGCAUCCAAUUGGUUGAGAGCCCAGAUAGAAUAACAAGGAAGAGGAAAGGUGAAUUAUCUCCUUCUGAAAUGGAAACAUCCUUCUUCUCCUGCCCUUGACAUCAGAACUUCAGGGUCUCAGACCUUUGGCCUCACAAUCAGAGUUACACCAUUGGCUUCCCUGAUUCUGAGUCCUUUGUAUCUGGAGUGAGCCAUGCUACCAGCUUUCCUGGUUCUCCAACUUGGAGACAGGCUAUUGUGGAACUUCUCAGCCUCCAUAAUUAUGUGAACCAGUUCCCCUAAUGAAUCUUCUCUCAUCUGUCUACAUAUAUCCUAUUGAUUCUGCCUUUCUGGAGACCCCUGACUAAUGUGAUUACAAUAACUACAAAAUUCACUAGUUUAUAUAGAAGACUUGGUUUUUGUCUUUGCCCCAUUUUAUAUUUGUAUUAUAACUAUGUAUCUGGAAAAUGGAACAAGUUUUUUCUUCUUCAUAUGAGGGCUAAGGCUUUUUUCUCACCAAUAUUUUUGGAGAUUUUAAAGAUUUUCUUUUUUUUGACAUAGAAUCUUAUGGAGGCUGAGAAAUAAUUUUUUUUCUAUUUUAUUCUUCAGCCCCAGGUGUUUGCUUUUGCAGAUUCUUGAGCACAUUGAGAGCCUCCAAGGCAUGGAGUGGGGUGCCUGAAGUUUCAGUGAUUAUAGGGAGUUGAGAGACUCAACUGGGAAAGGAAAGGUCUAAAAGGAGGCAAUUUGGAAGAUAAAAAUUUUCUCAAAGGAGCCAUUAAAGUUGUAAAUAAUUCUUAGUAAAGUCAUGCAAACAGGAAAAGAAGUAGAAUUAGUUCCAUAUUGGUGGAACACAUAGUCAGCAGAGGUUUGAGAAGGGAGAAUUCAGUGAACUGAGAAGUUCCCAUGAAAGCAGCAAGAUCAAGAUCACAGAGACCCCUUGAAACAAAAAGCCAGGAAUAACUUCCAACCCAAGAGGAGAACAGAGAGGCCUCAAAACCAAAGCUAGGAUAAGAAACUUGUAGCCCAAGAGUUAUCUUCCAGACAAAGAAGCCUGAGAUUCCAACGCAGCUUCAGAGAGUGCUCACUCAAAAUGUUACUGAAACUGUAGGCUUUUUAAUGACUUAGCCAUGCCUGCAAAAGGCAUUCCCUAAGGUGGCACAGAAGACGGAGCCCCCAUAUCCAAAGAUAGCCAAGGAGAAAGAAAGACCCCUGUUGCCAUAGCCAGUGGGCAAAGGCAACAGAAAAGGAGACAAGGGUCCUAAUGGGAUGAGAUCCUUUCAGAUUUAGGCUUAUACAAACUCCUGAGAACUGGCAGGUUGACAGCCAUAAAUGGGGUACCAAACUUUCUACUCAUUGGAUUACAAGUUCUCAGGCAUCCAGAAUGAUUAACAAAAUGACAAUUUCUAGGGCUUCUGUGGGAGAGUAUGGAAAGGUCUUUUUGAACCUUUUAAUGCUGUCAACGGAAAAAUGAUGAGGUUCAUAAAUUUGGAAAGGAGACAUUUCUUCAUUUCUAUGCUUAUUUUUAUUUUUUUUUGAGACAGAGUUUCACUCUUGUUGCCCAGGCUGGAGUGCAAUGGCAUGAUCUUGGUUCACUGCAACCUCCGCCUCCUGGGUUCAAGCGAUUCUCCUGCCUCAGCCUCCUGAUUAGCUGGGAUUACAGAUGCCCACCACCACACCUGGCUAAUUUUUUGCAGUUUUGGUAGCGACAGGGUUUCAUCAUGUUGGCCAGGCUGGUCUGAAACUCCUGACCUCAGGUGAUCCACCCACCUCGGCCUCCCAAAGUGCUGGGAUUACAGGCAUGAGCCACCCACCCAGUGAGAGAUUUAUUAUCUAUAAAGGGUUGUAGCCUGCAGGGUUGUCCUUCUGACAGGCUGGGAAGCAUAGCCUCCAGCCAGAAGCCAGAAACAGACGCUUCAAGGAGGAGGUAAAGGAAAUAGCAAUUUAUGCUGAGUGGAAUGGCCAAAUAGAUUUAUUUAAUAAGCUCUAGGAGGAGUCAUGAAUAUUUAUGGAAGGAGAAAUGCAUGCACGCACAAUUGAGUUUCUUGCUUCUUCAUGGGUCCCAUGUACAAAAAAUGGCAGUGUUAGCAUGAUCCCAGGGUGGAGUUUUCAGCCCUCUGACAUUAAAAGGUGAAGCAGAGGACAUGAAAACUCGCUCUGUGCAUCCUCUGUACGCUGGCCAGAACCUCUCCAUCGUGGGUGGUCUCUUAUCAGGCAAGAAAGGAGAGGUUGAUAUCAGUGGUGGAGGCUUUGAAAGGGCUGGUUUCUGUUAAAUCCUUAGGGAAGAAAGCCUCAUCAUGGUUAGCAAAGGAGGGGGUAUAACGAUGUGUAUCUUAACCCCAUCAUCCCAUCCUAGCAAAGCUGAGAACUCAGUUUUGAAAGUUACUCUGGGGUCCCCUCAGCCAAGAGUGGGUCUGUUCAGUCAGUUGGGAGCUUAGAAUUUCAUUUUCAUUUAUCAAUGCUAAUGCGAAAGAGUACGCUGUCUUCAUGGCAGCUGAAUUUGCAAGAAACUCCUUGGAUGGGGUUAAUGGCAGCUGUAUUUUUCUGGGAGCUCUGCUUUAAUUGGAUAAAGUAAGUUCUGGUAAGAUUUCUUCAUCUUCAGUAUCUCAAAUGUUUUCAUUUAAAUAAUCUUUAUAACAACUUUUGAUGUCUGAGUGGAUUCCCACACAGUCAUCUAUUGUAAGACUUUCUGAUUCCUUUUUUUUCCUUUGGUCAUUAUGAAUAGGGCUUCUGUAAAUAACUGCAUGGUAGCUUUUGAUGGGAAAUAACAUCAAAGUAGUUGUCAAAAUACUUAGGAAUGUUAUUUUUGGAUUGUAAGGUGAGACUUGUUUAGCUUUGGAAAAAAAUGCACAACUUGUAAUAGGGGAGGAAAAAUAAUUUUCUGUUUUUGGAAUUCUUAGAUGGAACGCUCUGUAAAAACUGACAGAUUAAAAUGAGAAAAACAGAAAAGUUUAAAAACAUGUAUAUCUUAUGGUUACAUGGGAGAUACUCAGGGAAAAAUGAGUAAAUCUCCAACAGGUGGCUUUCAAUUCAAGCAUAAAUACUAUCUUCAACUUAAAGAAAGAAGAUUUGAGGUGCAGUAGUGGGGAGCUAACCAGCAAAAGCACAUUAGACAAGGGUAAGGUGCGUUAUACAGACUUAAGUCCACGCAUUCUCCAUUGAUAAGACUCUUCAGUGAUUUAGUUAUCCUUCUCUUCUUGGCGUCGAGAGAGGUAGCUUUUAAAUGGUGAUUUCCUUUAUAGAUGUAAAUUUUCCUUACACAAGUAACUUCUCUAUUUUCACAACUUCCUUUGUUAGCAUUUUUUUUCAAAAUAAUUAGCUUGGAAUAAUUCUUAAGCCAAAGGGACAUAUUUUGGGGUUGCAUAUUCUGGUUUCCUACCAUUAUAUUUCGGGGUGGCAUAGUUUGGUCUUAUACACUGUGUUCCACUGGCAAUGAAAAGAGUUCUUGGUUUUCCUCCAGCAAUUUGUCAUUUGUUAAAGAGCUUAGCAGUUCUAAGAGAUAUAGACCAGCUGUGCUAUCUUUUUGUGGUUUUCAGUUCUCUAGUAUGUUGAGCAUCUUUUUGUAAGUGUACUUGCCAUCUGUAGAUCUUCUUUGGUGAAGUGUCUGUUCAGAUCUGUGUGCAUUUUUAAUUGGGUUGUUUAACUUAUUGUUUAGUUUUAACAAUUUUUUAUAUAUUUUGAAUACAAAUUCUCAGAUCUGUAUUUUGCAAAUAUUUUCUUCAACAUGUGGCUUGUCUUUUUGUUCUCUUAACAAGGUCUCUUCCAGAGUAUAAACUGUAAAUAUUAAG
RNAcentral lists this long non-coding RNA (6090 nucleotides) under Homo sapiens (human). Its description in RNAcentral is "lncAB324.1". The record is from RNAcentral. Lineage: Eukaryota; Metazoa; Chordata; Mammalia; Primates; Hominidae.